CAAGCGGUGGAUGAUGUGGAUUAAUUCGAUGCAACGCGAAAAACCUUACCUACCCUUGACAUGUACGGAAGACCGAAGAGAUUUGGUUGUGCUCGAAAGAGAACCGUAACACAGGUGCUGCAUGGCUGUCGUCAGCUCGUGUCGUGAGAUGUUGGGUUAAGUCCCGCAACGAGCGCAACCCUUGUCAUUAGUUGCUACAUUUAGUUGAGCACUCUAAUGAGACUGCCGGUGACAAACCGGAGGAAGGUGGGGAUGACGUCAAGUCCUCAUGGCCCUUAUGGGUAGGGCUUCACACGUCAUACAAUGGUACAUACAGAGGGCAGCCAACCCGCGAGGGGGAGCUAAUCCCAGAAAGUGUAUCGUAGUCCGGAUCGCAGUCUGCAACUCGACUGCGUGAAGUUGGAAUCGCUAGUAAUCGCGGAUCAGCAUGUCGCGGUGAAUACGUUCCCGGGUCUUGUACACACC
This 465-nucleotide ribosomal RNA is filed under the name uncultured bacterium. RNAcentral describes it as "bacterial SSU rRNA". It matches the Rfam family "Bacterial small subunit ribosomal RNA", at positions 926 to 1391 of the family's 1533-position model. The record is from RNAcentral.